RNAcentral lists this ribosomal RNA (507 nucleotides) under uncultured bacterium. Its description in RNAcentral is "bacterial SSU rRNA". It matches the Rfam family "Bacterial small subunit ribosomal RNA", at positions 28 to 505 of the family's 1533-position model. The record is from RNAcentral.
GACGAACGCUGGCGGCGUGCCUAACACAUGCAAGUCGAACGGAAUUAAGUUUAACACCGAACACUUAGUUUGGUGUAAGAGAACACUGAGUAGUCGGUGUUGAACUUAGUUUAGUGGCGGACGGGUGAGUAACGCGUGAGUAACCUGCCUUUCAGUGGGGAAUAACGUCUGGAAACGGACGCUAAUACCGCAUAACAUAUUUGUGUCACAUGGCACGAAUAUCAAAGGAGCAAUUCGCUGAAAGAUGGACUCGCGUCCGAUUAGCUAGUUGGUGAGAUAAAAGCCCACCAAGGCGACGAUCGGUAGCCGGACUGAGAGGUUGAACGGCCACAUUGGGACUGAGACACGGCCCAGACUCCUACGGGAGGCAGCAGUGGGGGAUAUUGCACAAUGGAGGAAACUCUGAUGCAGCAACGCCGCGUGAGGGAAGACGGUUUUCGGAUUGUAAACCUCUGUCUUUGGUGAAGAUAAUGACGGUAGCCAAAGAGGAAGCUCCGGCUAACUACG